RNAcentral lists this ribosomal RNA (497 nucleotides) under uncultured bacterium. RNAcentral's name for it is "partial 16S ribosomal RNA". It matches the Rfam family "Bacterial small subunit ribosomal RNA", at positions 28 to 507 of the family's 1533-position model. The record is from RNAcentral.
GAUGAACGCUGGCGGCGUGCCUAAUACAUGCAAGUCGAGCGAACAGAUGAGGAGCUUGCUCCUCUGACGUUAGCGGCGGACGGGUGAGUAACACGUGGAUAACCUACCUAUAAGACUGGGAUAACUUCGGGAAACCGGAGCUAAUACCGGAUAAUAUAUUGAACCGCAUGGUUCAAUAGUGAAAGACGGUUUUGCUGUCACUUAUAGAUGGAUCCGCGCUGCAUUAGCUAGUUGGUAAGGUAACGGCUUACCAAGGCAACGAUGCCUAGCCGACCUGAGAGGGUGGUCGGCCACCCUGGAACUGAAACACGGUCCAGACUCCUACGGGAGGCAGCAGUAGGGAAUCUUCCGCAAUGGGCGGAAGCCUGACGGAGCAACGCCGCGUGAGUGAUGAAGGUCUUCGGAUCGUAAAACUCUGUUAAUAGGGAAGAAAAAAUGUGUAAGUAACUAUGCACGACUUGACGGUACCUAAUCAGAAAGCCACGGCUAACUACGUG